Molecule: long non-coding RNA, 875 nt
Organism: Notolabrus celidotus (New Zealand spotty)
Lineage: Eukaryota; Metazoa; Chordata; Actinopteri; Labriformes; Labridae
Exons: 3
Source: RefSeq, a predicted model, not a curated record
CUGUUGCCUGUUUCUUUAAUUCAGCCAAUGUAAUGAACCACUAAGUCUCUAUGAAGAUCAGCUGGCAUGUCUGAUUUAUUUUACGGUUUCAAAUCCACCAGAGACCGGCAUCAGCACCACAGCUCCUGCUAACUGUUGUGGGGUUUUCCUGCAGGUAUGUGAGUGUCAGGGGUGUGGCUGGCUUCUUCACCAGCAGACGAGGCACACCUGGCUCCACUUGACUAAUCAUCCUGUCCAUAAAAGUCUGGUCACUUCACUCCACUACUCUGCCAGAUAGUUCCAUCUUGUUCGGUACUCCAGUGUGCCUCACUGCUUCGACUGAACCUUGUCUGUGUUCCCUGCGUUGCCGUCAGGAUCACCUUACCUGGCCAGCCAGCUCCCUGCCUUCACUGCCUGUUUUGUUUUUUUGAGAAAUAAAUGGUUUAUUUCUACAUUGUUACCUGCUUCAGCCUGUUUUGGGGUUUUCUUUGAACUGAAACCUAACAACAAAAUCAGUAAAAGUUGAUUGUAGAAGCAAGGUGAUGCAAUGACUGAUAAUACAAACCUCCAAAAAACAGAGAAAAAACACAUUAUAGUUCCCGGCAUCAUACAUUAUGAGUGAUCCUACUACAAAUAAGUCAUGUCAGCAAAUGUUGUUUAUUUAAUACAUUGUUGGAUCUGUGUUUCUUCAAUGAAAUCUCUGUUAUGCCACUUUGAAAUUGUUGUUAAUAUUUUUGUGAUUAUGAGAUGAGUCUGGUGAACAAUGAAACUGGUCUCACCAUCAUCUUCAAUAACACAUUCAUGUUACCCUCAGGAGGACUGUGGUAAUUUUGGGAGCUUUUUAUGUUUACAUGUUUAAUGAUUUCAAUGAUUUAAAUAAAAAACAUUUUCUUGAA